CUCUGUUAAACUCAAACUGGAUUUAGGGGAUCCUCUUCCCUCUCCUGAAAACUAUAGAUGCCUAGUGGGGAAACUCAAUUUCCCUACCCACACCAGACCUGAAUUAGCCUUUGCUGUCCAACAUUUAAGUCAGUUCCUCCAGAAUCCUACAUCCUCUCAUAUGCUUGCUGCUUUGCAUACCCUAAGAUAUCUCAGAGGCACCUCUGACCUUGGCAUCUUUCUCAGCAACACUCCUGACCUCUCCUUAUCUGCUUACUGUGAUAGUGACUGGGCAUCCUGCCUAGACACCAGAGAUCUGUAUCUGGCUUUUGUGUUCUAUUGGAGUGAAGGCUAAGAAGCAGCCUGUAGUGUCCCUCUCUUCUGCUGAGGCUGAGUAUAGAGCCAUCAACAAGGUUGUGGGUGAGCAAUAGUGACUGGGCAUCCUGCCCAGACACCAGAAGAUCUGUAUCUGGUUUUGUGUUCUGCUAGGUGACUCCCUUAUUGGUUGUAAGGCUAAGAAGCAGCCUGUAGUGUCCCUCUCUUCUGUUGAGGCUGAGUAUAGAGCCAUCAGCAAGGUUGUGGGUGAGCUCACUUGGCUCAUUCGUUUACUGUCUGAUUUUGGUGUUGCUGUUACAUCUAUUAUCCCAGUUAAUUGUGAUAAUCAGGCAGCCCUUCACAUUGCCAAGAAUCCUGUGUUUCAUGAACGGACCAAACACAUUGAGGUGGAUUGUCAUUUCAUCAGAGGCAAGCUUCAUGAAGGGCUUAUUACCUUGCACCAUGUUCCCACAACUUCUCAGCCUGCUGAUGUAUUUACCAAGCCCCUUACUGGCAUUUUGCAUCACUCUAUCUUGCUCAAGAUGGGAGUUCAGUCACCUUCCAACUUGCAGGGGGUGUUGGAGUUAUUGGGCCAUCUGCACAGCCCAGUCAGAGUGUUGGAGUUAUUGGGCCAUCUGCACAUCCCAAUCCGAGUAGCAGCAUCUGUACAUAAUAUAUGUUAUUUAUUUUAUGGUCCAAAAUGGCCCAAUAUGUGUACAAAUAUUGUAAUAGAUAUUGUGUAUAUACGGAAGGGGUUCAGGAAGGUUCUAGUGGGUUGUAUCAUUUUUUUACGAAGAACAG
This 1095-nucleotide long non-coding RNA is filed under the name Nicotiana benthamiana. RNAcentral's name for it is "long non-coding RNA (NBEN_LNC036756)". Lineage: Eukaryota; Viridiplantae; Streptophyta; Magnoliopsida; Solanales; Solanaceae. The record is from RNAcentral.